Orcinus orca (killer whale) is the source of this 23953-nucleotide long non-coding RNA. RefSeq lists it as uncharacterized. NCBI's taxonomy places the organism in Eukaryota, Metazoa, Chordata, Mammalia, Artiodactyla, Delphinidae. The record is from RefSeq and is a predicted model, not a curated record. The transcript has 5 exons.
CCACCGUCUUGCAGCUCCUCGUGUGGACACAGUCCACCUUCCUAGACUGGAAGCCCUGACCACAGGCUGACGUACAGGGCCUCCAAGGGCCUGCGUGCCAACAUGUGUCACAAGCCCGCGACGAGCAGUUCCUCCAAAAGGAAACUCAUCUGCAUUGUUCCUGGCUGACUAAGCAAAGCGGUGGAGGAAUCACAACCUCAAUAGAGGCAAGCAAACCAUGUGUUUCCGUGAACCUCUGGCACCACAUCAAGGCACGCAUCUCAAAAGACACACUCUCCUGAUGAGCUGGAGCAGAUCGAUUUAAGGAAGAGAAGAAAGACACAUUUGUUAACAAACUGUUCUGUGAUGGUUAAUUUUAUGUGUCAUUUCUCACCCAUACCUGAUCAGGUGAAAUUUAAUGAGGCUUUGGACUUGGAAUCGGUGUUGGAAUGGGUUAAGACCUCUGGGGAUAUUGAGAUGGGCCGCGAAGCAUGUGGGAUCUUGGUCCCCGACAAGGGAUCCAACCUGCACCCCCUGCACUGGAAGGCAAAAUCUUAACCACUGGACCACCAGGGAAGUCUCUUUUUUAAUUUUUUUUGAUGCAUGGGUUUCACCACAGGGAGUGUAUGAUUAUAGUAAAUGAUCAUACUUUCAAAACACUAGAUUUGUCAGCAUUACCUGGUUCCCUGGUUCAAUAAGCCCUGGAACACACGGGUGACUGGAGCAGGGGCUUCUUCCCAGAGGCCUCUCUCUGGGGGCACAUGCUCUCGGAGGCAUCACCUGUACAGUCCCAUUGGCUCUUGUCCGCUUACAGGUCACUUGCCGACUGCGGAAUCCUUCACCACAAGACACAGAGCACUCUGACCAUGUGCCUGUGAACCACCUAAGAACAAAAACUACAGGAGCUUAGUAAGGACUGGUAGGACAGAUCCAACAGGGAGUGCCUUCCAAAGGAAAAAUUGAUCCUAAGAUGAUGCCUGUUUCAGGGCCCUCACACGUCUCUCUGGAAACGGGCAGCAGCACAGAUAACUCCCAGCCAUAUGCUCAGAUUUUCUUUUACUCAGAGAAGCAACAGAAUCACCACGUAGAGACAAGCAACAUAGGGGUGGGAUAGAGCCGUCUUCAAGUAUGUAAGGAGCCAUGACUUGUGUGGCUUCAUAGAGUACAGCUAGGGCAAAAUUAGGUGGAAACUUCAAAAAGGUGGAUUUCAACUCACUGAAAGCAAAGGGAAUAUUACUGGAUAUUACUAAAUCACCUAUGUGCUCUUUGUGGUCUGAGACGUUCGCAUGUUUUCUAAUGUAAUUGUCAUCUUGUUCCCAUUCUUGCAAUGAGGACAGCGAUGUCCACAAGGUUAAAUAGCUAUGGUCCCAUAACUAACAUGCCAAGAAAGCUGGGACUGCUUCUAGAUUUAUCUGACCCUAAAGUUCAUAAUGAUUAUAGAAGACUGAACUUGGAAGUGGACACCUUGGAGAUAUUGGGUGCUCUGUCACUCAAGAUGUUCGAGCUGCCACCAGGAUACUGAAGAGUAGGGGUUCCUAACCUGAGCCCCAUUGUUCUGCCAGGGAACCAUGGACUUGGAUGGGAAAAGGAUUACAUCUUCAUUGCCACUAAGCUCUAACGGCAAUUGUAUUGCCUUCAAUUGUAAAAAUGUAGGCAACAUCAUCUAGUAGUAAUAGCAAUACCUGUGAUUUUGUUAGCAAUAGAAAUCAUAGCUGCUUUCACAUGACAUGAAAAUUGUGGCAGACAUCCAAAACAGCAGUUAUAUUCAUCACCAUUUCAAAAUCAAUUGUACUAGUAGAUCCUGUUAUUUAGUGUGUUAAGAGAGAAGCAAAUUUCCUACUACAUCACACAUUUGAAACUACUUCAGUAACUAUUUCAAUAUAAUUAAUUGGAUUCCUCUGUAGUCAAGUAUAUUUUAUUUUUAUAGAUUUAAAACCCUUGAUUGAGAAGGGAGCCAUAGGCUUCCCUAGACUAUGGAGGGAUCCGUGGCACUGAAAUGUGAAGGACCCCUGAUGUAGAGGGAUCUAGGGUUAGAUGAUCUCUACUGUUUCUUCUAGGUAUGAAAGUGUAUGACAGUUUUUUCUAGGAGUGGCUAAAGGCUUGAGAGUACUUAAUAAAUAAGGAUAAAUUUCCCAAUGUGAAUUCUCAUUGUGAGAAUCAACAAUUGAUAUAAACCAGUUUUCUUGGAUCAAAUUCCUCCUAGUUAUUCUAGCAUCAGUUUGCUGCUUCCUGAGGGACAGAUGACUCUUGCACAAGCUCUUCCUUUGAAGGAUAGGAAGAGCUCAUGCAAGAGUCAAGGUGCCUACGGCACUGCACAAGAGGUCAAGGUGCCCACGGUAUCCACGGCUCUUCUAAUAACGUGUUCCGAGGCAUCUCUUUUGUUUCACGGUGUGACCAUGCCUCCCACUUCUCCUCCAAGGCACAGAUCAUGGAUCCGGGGUGGGCAUUUGCACAGAGCAGUGAGCUGUACAACAUUAUGUACACCUCCGAUUCCUCCUCAGUAAAAUGAGGUUGAUUAAUAGUGUCUGCCUCACAGGUCUGUGCUCAGUAAGUACUACUACUCUUUGGUUUUUGUCUUGGUUUUUUGUUUGUUUGUUUUUACUGUGAAUUUUGGCAUUGUGAACAAAAAUAUUGCCUGCCAUGUCAGUAAACAAAGGAUGUUGCAGCCAUCAAGCCAUCACAUUACAGCUGCCCUGAUGGUGCACCACCCCGAGGAGACUCAGGAUGAGAAAGCACAGGACACCGGCCCCAGAUAGUGGAGGUGCACAUCAAAGGAAUGAUUUCGGAAGCACUUGAAGGACAACAAGAAUUUGACGCUUACCCAGCAAGUGGAGGAUGGAUGUUGCCAUCGCCUUUCCAAGAGCAUUGGUGGCUGUACAGACAUAGGUUCCUUCACUUUCAAGGGAAACAUUCUGCAACAACAGGGAUCCAUUGAAAAGCAAGGAAAUAUUGUCACUCAGAGAUCCUCCUUUCUUCAACCAAGUUACAUUAGGUUGAGGGACACCUUUGGAAGAAAAACAAAUAUGACAAAGGCAAACUCCUUUAAGAAUAGGGCCACAGGACCAUAUGCAAAUACCAUUUAGCAUUUUGACCACAAGUCAGGAAAUGGGUUUAAUCACAUAUAAUAGGAAAAACGGCUCUUUCUAUUUCUAUAGCUCCUCUGUGGCAGAUGGGGGAUGCUGCUGAAGCAAAGGGCUUUGGUCUGCUGAGCACCAGGUUGGUUUAUGUAUAUAAGUCAAGGAAUAGGAGCCAAAGAGGGUGGGCUUGCUCUGUAUUGGGAAGGGAGAGAAAUUUGAAGUUGAAUGGGGGUAACGGGAAAGUGGUUGGAAAAGAGGAGCUGAUCAAGCCGGAUGAAUGUGGAGGCAGAGACACAGAGAAAUUCCUAGCAGUGGGUUGUCACAAAGAAGCCUUUUGGAAACAAAAAUAUCGAAUAUGGAUGUUUAAGUGGUUCACUGUGCAAAAGGCAAUGCAACGUUCCUCCCUUCAGGUGGAAUACAAAAUCUUUAGGGAAGUAGAUUUUGUUCAUCCAUGCUUUUGUGAAAGAGGAUAAUUUCAGGGAACAAAAAGAAGUGUUGCAUUUUAAGUUUGGGUCAACGUAGAGGUGAGCAGACUGUAAGCAACAUCUCUGGACACAGAGGAGCGUGAGGAAUUGAAAGAAUUUCUGCCCCCACAUCUUGAGAAAUCUUAGCCGUUUGCUGGGCUGUGGGAUGUGAAACUAAGAGGAAUCUCAUUUCGUUCUUAAGAGCUGGGGCAGCCUCCAGUGAUCCAGCAGGAUUACUGGUUUUGAGGAUGUCCUUUCUUCCUGCAAUGCUCUGGCUAGAGAGGCUAUGGCAGACAUGGCAAGGCUUUCUGACAAGAAAGAGAUGUCAUCGCUCUAAUCGUGACAUCUGCAAUGCACCUUACAAGAGGCAAAACACAUGCUCCAUGAACACUGAGACACUUUCUCACGGUUAUUCCCAACUCCUGGGAAGCAGUCAUUGUUAGCUCUGUCUUACAGCUGAGGAAGCUGGUCAAGUCAAAACUAGCUCAGAACCUAAAUACACGGAGAAGUGCUAAUCACAAGUGCAUAUAUAUAGUUUUGUAGUUUCUUCUACAAAUAUAAACACAUGUAGUUUCUUCUAGUUUCUUCUACAAAUAUAAACACAUGUAGUUUCUUCUACAAAUAUAAACACAUAUAAACUUUUCUAAGGUCAACAGCUAGUAAACACUGGAUCUGAGAUUCACACCCACGCAGUUUACUCCAGAACUUACCUUUUAACCACAAUGUAGGUAGGUCUUAUAUAUUUCUUGAUAGAUUUAUUCCUAGGCAUCUUAUACUUUUUAUGGCCAUAGUAAGCAGGCUCUUUUAAAAUAUAUUUUAUAGUUGUUUAUUCCUGACAAUUAGGAAAGCAAUGAACACUCGCGUCUUUAUCUUGUAUCUAAUCAUCUUACUAAAGUUUAUUAUUUUGAAUAGUUUUCAAAUGAUUUUGUUUUUUAAAUGUAAACAAUCACAUCACUUAUAUGUAAUGACAAUUUUAUCUUUUUUUUCCUAUAUUUAUACCUAUAAUUUCUAUUAACUAUUGCAUUGUAUUAGCUAAUGUCUCUAGAACAAUGCUGAAUCAUGUUACAGCAGGCAAAUUUGCCUUGUUUCCAGCUUUAAAGGGAACAUUACUAAUGUUUCAUCCUCAAGCACGUUGUUUGCUUUUGUUUUCUGUUAGCUGUUGUCAAAUCAAAGAAAUUUCCUUCUGUUUCUAACUCACAUGGAAAUUUCUAAACCUUUGAGCUAAUAUUUAGUUUAUUUUAAUUGGAUUUUUUAAAAAUUAAAGUAUUUAAAGUUAUUAAUUUUCCUUUGAGUACAGCUUUGACUAUAUAUAUUUUGAGAUGAAAUAAACCAUUACCAUUAUUUCACUCAUUCAAAAAUGUUUACAAAGUGCUUAUUAUAUGUGAGACUUUAUGCUGGUGCUAAGGAUAUGUGAACUAAGUUUCCUUAAGAAACUUGAUUUUAGAAGCCUUAAUUUUGUGGUCUUCUAGGAUCUUAAGAUGGAAGAUUGUCAAUAAAUGGGGUAGGCUUAACCUGUCUGAUUCUCGAGUGCCUUCUCCAAGCUCCCUGAGAAGUCCCAGCCUUAAUUUUUAAAUUUUAAUUCCCUCCUUUGGAGGGAAACAGAUGAUUGCAAUAAAAGGACACGAGGGCUUAUGAUAAACGUAAACACUGGAUGCCACUGGCACGUAAAAGCUGUAUUUAAUGCAGACUGGAGAGAGGGGAAAGAUUCUCACAUGAAGGAACAUCUAAGCUAAUACUUUAGGACAAGUAGAAACAUGUCAGGUGAAGGGGGUGGAUGUGGUGGUGAGACUGUUUUAGCUAGAGGGAACAGCGUGCAAAAAGGCACAGACACGAAGGAAAAUAUAGUGCAUUUGGGGAAUCAUAAAUUGCUUUUUUAUGACUGGAGCUUAAAGUACAUGGAGUAGGAGUGAGGAGAGAUGACUACAGAGGUCAGCAAGUACCCAUAAAAUGAAAAUUUAUUAUCCACAGUAAGGAGUUUGGUGGCAUUUAUCCUAAACGAAAUAGGAAAUAGUUUCAUUCUUUUAAGCAGUGGUUAAAACUAUCAGAUUGCUGCUUCUGAAACAUCGUUCUGGAUGUGAUGUAAAACGGGGACGAGGGAGGCAAGGGUCAGUAGGACCACUUAGGUGGUUACAGAAGCAAUUGAGGUGAGAUGCAAAGAGUGCUGAAACAAUGGUGGGAGUGAGGGAUCUGGAGAGAAUAGAUGCACUUAGUAAAUAUUAAAGAAGAAAAAUCAGUAGGAUUUGGUGACUGACGUUCUAUGCGGGAGUGAAGGAGAAAAAGGAUUUAAGGAUGACAUGCAGAUAGAGGGUGGUACCAUUCACUGAAACAGGGAAAAUAAGAGGAGGAGCAGACCUGCGUGAUAAAUUCUUAUAAGCAUGUUGCAGCCUGAGAGGCAGGCGUCGAAUUUUACACAUACUCCUAGGAGCCUGCGGGAACACUCCGGGGACGAGGACCGGUGGGCGCCAUUGUCAUGCUCUCCCUCUGCUGUGCUCCAGAGCUUCAGAAUCUCCCAGAAGAGAGCUUUUACACAAGUCUGCCCUGAUUUUUGUGGCUGCCACCUGCAGAUGCCUCUGGAGGACAGGGGAGCCUGUGUUCCUGGUCCCUUGAGACCGUAAUAAUUGGUGUCACCCAGAAAAGAGCUCAUACUCCUAUCUGGCACCUUGAUUUUUGUGAUUGCUGUCAGGGGACACCUCUGUAUCACAUGGCUCUGGUGGCCAAUGGGGCUUAUACUUGCGGGUCCCACAGGAUUGUGGCCAAUGGAGAAAGAGUACUUAAACAGGUACCACCCCCCAGGGCACAGCAAGAGGCCACAGACCCAGGUCCUCCUUCUUUCUGUGAAGGAGGCCUAUGAGCUAAGCAUCAUGACUGCGCCCGAGGGGCAGGCUUCUGAUUAAACAUGCAUCUUGGGGCUGACUGUGAUCCCUCGCAGAGACCUCUGAGGGUGGGAGCUGUCUUCAUGCUCACUCUCUGCCAUGCUCCGGGGUGCCAGUGUUUCCUGCAGGCAAGCUAUACGUGCAUCCAGUGCCCUGGUUUUUACCUCUGGUAUCCUGUUUUUAUUUUUAUUUUAUAUUGGAGUAUUGCUGAUUCACGAUGUUGUGAUAGUUUCGGGUGUACAGCAAAGUGAUUCAGUUAUACAUACACGUGCAUCUAUUCUUUUUCAAAUUCUUCUCCCAUUUAGGUUAUUAAAGAAUACUGAGCAGAGUCCCCUGUGCUAUACAGUAGGUCCUUGUGUGUUGUCCAUUUUAAAUACAGCAGUGUGCACAUGUCAAUCCCAAACUCCCCAUCUAUCCCUCCCCCCAACCACGCUUUUCCCAGGCUAACCAUAAGUUCAUUCUCUAAGUCUGUGACUCUGUUUCUGUUUUGUAAGUAAGUUCAUUUGUAUCUGAUACCCUGGUUUUUGUGGCUGCCACCCAAGGGAUGCUCCUUGAUCUGGUGGCUCUGUUGGCCAGGGUUGGAAGGAGUGGGUGUAGGGUUAGCAGUGGGAUGGAGGGGUGGGAGUGUAGGGAGGAGGCGGGGGGUGGCGGCUUGCAUUCCUGGGUCCCACAGGACUGUGGCAAUCAGAGAGGCAGUGCUUGGCAGGCUAUCACCGCCAGGGCACCGCACAGACAACGGACUGAAACACACCCCCAGUCUUUCUGCGAAGGUCUCUUUGCUUGUCCUGGAGCUUUGGCCUGAGGGCUGGCUUCAGGUCUGGCUCACAUUUAGUGGCCUACAGAGCUGCUUUCAAGGAAUGUAGGCUGUAGAAUGUAGCGCCCCUUGGCACUCUCCCUCCGCCUCGCGCCAGCUCACCACUAUCACCCAGAAAAGGAACUUACACACUCAUUUGGGGCCCUGAUUUCGGCAGCUGCCACCCAGGGGACCCCUCCAAAUCUUCCGACGCUGGUGGGCAUCAGGGGUUACACUUACAGUCCCACAGGACUGUAUAUAUCUACAUACUUAAAGGAAAAACUGAUCCUGAGGGUCUAGCUUGCAGUCAGCCUGAAUCUAGGUUCUGAGAGCCUCCCGUUUGAGACACUGACAGGUCUUAGCACAUCCUCAACUAUGAGGAGUUAGUAAAUAAUAACAGUAAGUCCCCCACAUACAAACCUUCAAGCUGCGAACUUUCAAAGAUGCAAACGUGCGUUCGCGUGUCCAAUCACGUAAGUUAGUUCACGUGUCUAGAGUACAUUGUCACAUCGCAUGCAUCUUCUACAAGUGGUUGUGCUUUUGUGUACUUUACUGUACAGUACUGUAUAGAGGACAGUAGUACAGCAUCUUUAUUUCAAGCCCAGGAUGUCUGGAAGCAAGUGUAAAAGCAGCAGUGAUAUACCUGGUACUUUUCAAGGUAAUGUACUGUAAGAUUAAAAAUGUUUUCUUUAUUUUUUGCGUUUGUUUUUUAUGUAUUAUUUGUGUGAAAAGUAUGAUAAACCUAUUACAGUACAGUACUAUAUAGCCGAUUGUCUUAGUUGGGUACCCAGGCUAACUCUGUUGGACUUGCCAACGAAUUAAACUUACGAACGCGCUCUUGGAAUGGAACUCGUUCAUAUGCAGGGGACUUACUGUAGUAGGCUGCUUGGACAAGCACAAAGGUUAGAGAGACAAACAGGAGCUGAGGCAGAGCUGAAUGACAAGGUUCAUCUCCUGCAUGAGGCUACUCCUUCAAAACUGGAAAAGGUUGUUGCUUCAUCUCUAUAGAAGCCAACACAGAGACACAGAGGGGUUGAAUGGAUGAAAAACCAAGACCCAUCCACAUGCUGCCUACAAGAGACUCCCUUUAGAUGUAAGGAUACACACAGACUGAAAGUGAAGGGAUGCAAAAAGAUAUCCCAUGCAACUAGAAGUUAAUUUCACGAGGAAACCUGGAAAAUCACACAGAUGUGGAGAUUGAAAAACAUGCCACUGAACAACCAAUGGAUCAUCUUGCUUUUCUAGAUUUUCUUGGGGACACAGCACAUACACUACCUAAGACUGACCUUGGUGAUGCAGUGGAUGCUCUCGUGUGCUUCUUGAGUGCUAGUUCAAUGCCAUUUUUACUGCCUAACCUCAGCGUUCUGACUCAGAGCUCUAAUGAGCAGAAAUUCCUCCUGGCCCAUCUAGAUAGAUCCCAACCAGCAACUCUGCUCCCAGUGCUGACUAUACUUGGUAUCUCUUUUACACACUUUAUUUUUAUUUCAAAGGGUAACAUUAGGAAGAGCAAAUCAGGUCUCCCUCUUUUUUGCCUGAAGACCACAGAAGUAAAUCUGUGGUUUCCUGAAAGCCUCAGACCAUACUGCUCAAAAAUGUCAAGGGUAAAGAUGAGAGACUAGGUUAAAUUUCUCCUGGGAUUCCUUUCAGCUGAAGGAUAUGUGAGAGAAAUUCAUCCGUUCAUCCAUCCACCCACCUGUCACUUUAUAUAUUUAUUCAACUCACUUUUAUUAUGUACCUCCUAUGACCAGCACUCUUCUUGAGCAUUAUGACUGCAUUAAUCUCUCACCUCUCCAGUAGAUCAUGAGGAUAGCGCCUGGCAAAGGGUAGACAAAUGAAUAUUUGCUGAAUGCAUAAAUGAGUGAACUAGGGAAUGGAUCUACUAGAAGAAAAUUAUAUCCCGAAGAUACGUCAGCAUGACUUCCUGGUUAUUCACGCCAGUGUUCUCUUCCAAAUGGCAAAGAUACAAUGCUGACUGUUAUUAAAAAUCUUCAUAAAUUCAGACACUGUUAUUUUGGAAUCUGUGGUAAUUUAGAAAAGGGCGGUAUUAGCUGGGAGGAAAAUAACCUCCGUAAAUAUUUUGAGGCGAAAAAUGUAAAACAUUUCAGAAAUCCCUUUAAACACUUAACUAGCCUCCAUAUAUGUGAAUUUAAAUUAUUUAUUAAUUAAAGGGAUUCCUUUAAGACCUCUGCUAAGUCAUUCUCUCUUGAGUAACUGAACAUUUUUAAAAGCAACACUAAGUCUGAAAGUAUUUUACAAUUUAAGGAUAUUCAGAUUUAUCUCCUGCAACUAGUCCCAAUUAAGGGGAGUUUUCUCAAAUUAUAAAACCUCUUGCAGUGAGAGACCCUGAAGCACUUCACAUGUAUUGGCUUAUUCUUUACGCCUCUAUCAUAAGAAGCAUGCAAGCAACAGUGCUGUCAAUUCUAAACUGAAAAGAGGUGUACUAAAGCCCUUCAGCGAGGUAAAACAAGCCACAGGGGGUCCUCGGGGAAGAGCACUCCAGGCAGAGAGAACAGCUCACGCUUCAGCCCUGAAGCAGGGUUCUUACCAUGGGGUCCCUGAACCUCAUGUAGGUUCAUAGAUGGAAUUCAGGGGUUUGUGACCUUUCCACUUACUCCAGCUGAGAUUUAGCAUUUCCAUCAACUAUGAACAUAAGCAACAAACCAAGGUAGCAGUACCUUGGAUGCUGAAGCCAAUGGAAAUCACAGAUAUUUUCAUAUCACAUUAUAAUUCUUACAGAUAUCUCACAAUAUCUUUUAUACCAUCACUACUUCAAAACUAUGGUAUUUAUUGGAUGAAUGUUAGCUUUUCAAUUGAAUGCAUUAGUAAAGAAACAUAUUAUUAGAUCGCAUACUUGCUUUAUUAAUAUUGUGAUAUCUGUAUUUUGAUUAUAAUUGGUUUUCUUUAUAAUAUAUAGUCUGCAUCUGAAAGCACUGUUCUGAGAAGCAGUCCCCUAGGCUUCAUCAGACUAGACUUCAGGGCAUGCUUCUCUUACUUUGGAAAAAGAUAAAAGAACACUGUGGCUGCAGGGAUGUGAGCAAGGUCAGAGAAAUGGCAGGUCGGGUGGGGGCUCAGAUCAUAGAGAGCCUUAUAGGUCAUUGUAAGGCUCUGGUUUUUAUUCUAAAGGCUUUGAAGAGUUGUGUGUUCUGACUCUUGAUUUUAAAGGACUCCUUGGACUGCUACGUUGAGAGUAGAUUGUAGGGGGCAAGGGCAGAGAGGGAGACCAGCGAGGAGGCUGUGAUUACAAUCCAGCCUAGAGAUGAUGGUGGGUUGGAGCAGCUUGGUAGCAACUGAAGUGGUGAGAAAUGUUCAGAUUCUGGAUAUAUUUUGAAGGAUUUCUCUGGGGAAUGGGGGAUUGAUGGAUAGAGGGCUAUGUCAGAGAGAAAUGCAGGUCAAAAAUGAUGUCAAGAUUUUAGGCUCACGCAACUGAAAUAAAGGCACUGCCAUUUUCUGAGACUCAGAGAAAAACUCCAUGAAGAAGCAAUUUUGGGAGCAAAACUCAGGCAUUCAGUUUUGGAUAAGUUAGGUUUGAAACAUCUGAUAUUCACUGAGGGAUGCUGAACAGGCACUUGGAUCUGUUCACCUAGGCUUAGAGGAAAGGUCUGGGCUGGAAAUACAAAUCUAGGAGUUGUCAGCAUACAGAUGACAUUUGAAUCCUUGAGCAUGAAUGAGAUCGAUGAGGGAGUGAGUACAGCUAGAGAGCAGAAAACGUCUGAGGACUAGUCCUGAGGUACCUUAACUUAGAGAUCAGAGAUGUGAGGCAAAGCCAGCGGAGGAGGCUGAAAAGGAACAGGUGAUACGGUGGGUGUAGAACUGGGAGCGUGGUUUCCCAGAAGCUGAUGAGAAAGUAUUUCACGAAGGAGGGAGGGAAUAGCCACUGUCAAAUGCAGUCACUGUCAAAGGGCCAAGUAAAAGGUCUGAGGAUUGACCACUGAAUUGGCAAUGUACAGACUUACAUGGUGGGCCUGUUGGUAACCUUGACGACAGCUCUGAAGGUUGAAUGGUGUGGAUAAACUUGGCUGGAGUGAGCUCACGAGAGGAUGAAGGAAGAUGAAAUUGGAGACUGUACAAACUACUCUUGAGGCAUUUUGCUAUGAUGGAAAUCGAGGAAUGAGGCAGUAGCUGGAGGGGGGAGUGGAGUCAAGGUCAGGCUAUCUAAAGGUGGCUUCACUCACCUGGAAUUUGCAAAAUCUUCCUAACCAUUCUCACUGCUCCCACACUGGCCUUCCUUUCACUCUUUGAUUUCCUAGUCUAUUUUCAACAUGGUAGCCAGAGUGUUUUUCCUAAAACAUAAGUCAGAUCAUGUCAUUCCUCCAAUGGCUUCCAUCUCAUUCAGAAUAAAAACAGAGUGCUUAUGAUGGCUUAUAUGGCGCUACGUGAUCUGCCUCUAUCAUCUCAAAAAAAAAAAAAAAAAACCAGAAAAAAAAAGUGCUGAGAGCCAGAGAGAGACAGAUUCUUGAUGAAAUCAUUUAUGUUCCUGAAUCUAGAUGUGUCCAAAGUUAGUGCACCCUAGGACUUUUCAGUUUCCAGAGCCAGUAACUUCUCUAUUUUUCUUGAGCCAGUUUGAGGUGGGUCUCUGACACUUGUAACCACGGGCGUCUGGACUAAAAAUGUAGGUAAGAAAACAACCCAGAUGGCCAAAUGGUCACAGCAGCACGCACUUCUGGGAACAAACUGGCAUCACCGUAUUCCAAAAGAAAAUGUCGGAGAUAAGAAGUUUGCAUCGAGGAGGAUAAGACCACAGCAGAAUAUGGCCCGACCUCUUCCUCCUCACUCUACACAACUAACCUGGCCAAGUUCAUCAGCUUUUAAGAACACAGUGAUAAUUCCUAUGCUGACAAUGCCCACAUCUGCCUGUCCAACCUGAACCCGUCCCUCGAGUUCAACACCAACAGUUCCUGGACAUCUCCCAUCCGCGAGUCCCAAAGGUGCCUCAAACGCAGUAAGUCCCACAGCAAAUUCAUUUUGCUGUAGGCUUGUUCCACAUCUCCCUGUAGGCUUGUUCCGCAUCAUCAUUUCAGCACCGCAUCUAUCCAACCUCCCCACCUCGGAGCCUCAGAGCCACGCCCGGAUCUCGCCUCUGCAUCCUUCAUGUUUCAUUUGCCACCAAGUUAGAAAAAAAAAUCACUUCUAACUUAGGAUGUUCCUGGAUCAUCUCUUCUUCUCCACUCUCACGGUCAGUGUUGUGGCUCAGGGCCAGAGUUCCUGCCUUAGUUACUGAAGCAACCUCUUAGCUGGAUUCCCCACUUCCCAACAAUUCUUGUUUUUUUUUUAAAUUUUUAUUGGAGUAUAGUUGAUUUACAACGUUCUGUUAGUUUCAGGUGUACAGCAACGUGAAACAGUUAUACACAUACGUAUAUCCACUCUUCUUUAGAUUCUUUUCCCAAAUAGGUCAUUAUAGAGUAUUGAGUACCUCCUACACCAUUGGUGGGAAUGUAAGUUGGGACAACCAUUAUGGAAAACAGUAUGGAGGUUCCUUAAAAAACUAAUUACAGAACUACUGUAUGAUCCAGCAAUCCCACUCCUGGGCCAACAAUUCUUCAUGCAAAGUCGGAGGGAGCAAAGUGCUGGGCCCUGACUGCCUUCAGAAGCUCGUGGCCCUGGCAUUGUCAGUUCCACAUCACUUAGCUCCAGCCACACUCCUAGCCUGACUUUCCAACCCUCCUGCUGGUUCUCUCCUUGCACAGACCUCAGACUGUAGCCAAUUCCGUGUCCUGCAGCAAGCCUGCCCUUGCAUGCCAGCUGUCCUACUCAUGCUCUUCACUCUGGAAUGUUCGUUCCUACCUUUUCAUCUUCAUGGGCCUGGUCACACCUCCUGGGACCUCCCACAGUGAGCUGCCUGUCUACUCCUCCCAGUUCCUACAGCGUUGUAUUCGUGCGCACACUAUCGCAUUGACCACGUUAUGUCAUGGUCAGUAUCGCAUCUUUCUGGGAGCUCCUUGCUGUCAGCUGGGCGUGUAGGAGGUGCUCAGAAGAGUGUGUUGAAUUGAAAGCAUUCAAGGCUCUUUCUGGCGACGGCCAUUCUGACCGGUGUGAGGUGAUACCUCAUUGUAGUUUUGAUUCACAUUUCUCUAAUAAUCAGUGAUGUUGAGCAAAAUUGGGUCAUUUGUAGAGAUGUGGAUGGACCUAGAGUAUGUCGUACAGGGUGAAGUAAGUCAGAAAGAGAAAAACAAAUAGCGUAUAUUAACGCAUAUAUGUGGAGUCUAGAAAAAUGGUACCGAUGAACCUAUUUGUAGGGCAGGAAUAGAGAUGCAGACAUAGAGAACGGACAUGCGGACAUGAGGGGGGAAGGGGAAGGGGAGAUGAAUUAGGAGAUUAGGAUUGACAUAUAUACACUACCAUGUGUAAAACAGAUAGCUAGUGGGAACCUGCUGUAUAGCACAGGGAGCUCAGCUCGGUGCUCUGUGAUGACCUAGAUGGGUGGGAUGGGGGCGGCUGUGGGAGGGAGGCCCAAGAGGGAGGGGAUAGAUGUAUACAUAUAGCUGAUUCACUUCGGUGUACAGGAGAAACUAACACAACAUUGUAAAGCAAUUAUACUCCAAUAAUAAUAAUUUUUAAAAAAGCGUUCAAGGCUCUUGUUAUGGACUGGAUGUUCAUGCUUCAUUCCUCCCACCUCCACCACCAAAUUUAUCUGUGGAAGCCCUAAACACCCAUAGGAUGGCAUUUGGAAAUGGGGCUUUGGGAAGGUAAUGAGCUUUAGAUGAGUUCAUGAGGGUACAUCUCCCAUGAUGGGAUGAGUACCCUUAUAAAAAAAAAAGGAAGAUAGUGGAGAUCUCGCUCUCUUUCCAUCAUGUGAGGAAACACUGAGAAGAUGGCUGUCUGUAAGCCAGGAGGAGUUCUCACCAGACACCGAGCCUUCCGGCACCUUGACCUUGGACUUCCCAGCCUCCAACACUGGGAGAAAUAAAUGUCUGUUGUUUUAGCCACCCAGUCUAUGGUAUUUUGGUAUAACAGCCUAAGAGAAGGCAGCUGUAGAGGAGGACUUGACUCUGGGGUUGUUGCCUGUCAUAGGGCUCACCCGUCCUCAAGGCCUUAGGAAACAGGUUCUGCUGCAUUCACACCCCUGGCUGGCUGAGACCCUAAGGGAAGGAUGUCACCUUACAGCAUCUAGGGGGCGCAGUCUCAAUUCCUGCAGUGCCAUCCUGCUCUGGCCCACCAGCUCGGCGUGACCAGGCUCCUCUGGCUACGCAGGGCUCCUGACAACCUCCAGAGCCUCUCCGCAGUUCAGCCGACCCGAAGUCUGAGCUGCAGAUGAUUCCACGAGGGGAAUGAGCUCCCGUUUCAGGGUGCUCCCUGAAGGCACCCCAUCUCAGUUGUUCUGAAACGCGGAGCAGGGGCUGGUGAGGAUGGUGGUGUGAACGCUGUGCUCAGGAAUUCUGCGGUUCAUCUCAGCAGAACUUACCGUUCAGCAGAAAUGUUUUAAAAAAGGGAAACCUCCUAGCAUGAUUUUUUUGGAGUCCAUUUUGGUCACUAGUUAUUCUGAUUCUCUAUGACUUCCUAGUUGCUUUCAGUCUCCCGUGCCUGUGCUUACAUCACUUGGUGUAGGAGACGACACAUCUGCCACUCAGACUGUCCCCCCACCAACAGUCGCCUACACCUUUACGCAGACAAGAAUCCAUCACAUCCACUGAAUGCUCUGGGAGUGCCUACCAUGUGCCCGCACUCCUCUAGGUGCUGGGGUCCUAGCUUUGCUGGAACGCCGAACAUCAGCUUCUCCCACCGCUAGGCUUUCAGCAGAGUACAAGAAGGGUAAGACUCCUCUCGGGAGUCGGCCUCUUUUUUCAGCAAUCUAAGGAGACACACUCUAUGGGCCUCUCACUUCGUAUGAGGCCUCAGGCAACCAUCAGCCAGAGAGUUUCCUCAGGGCUGAGACAUGCAGACUGACCUCAGGAACCCCAGAGCAGUGCAUUACACACAGCAGGCGUGUUGAAAUAAACUGAAUGGAACAAACUACAGGUCGGAGAAAUUGUUCUGAUCUACAGUAUAUAACUCUGGUUUUCUUUUUUCUUUCUUUUUUUUUAAGCUUUAGAGCUCUUUCAUUUCAUUUUUUUAAAAAUAUUUAUUUUUAAAAUUUAUUUAUUUUUACUUUUUGGCCGCACGGGGUCUUAGCUGCAGUGCGCAGGCUCUUCGUGGCCGCACACAGGCUUCUCUCUAGCUGAGGCGUACGGGCUCAGUAGUUGUGGCGCACAGGCUUAGCUGCCCCGCGGCACAUGAGAUCUUAGUUCCCCGACCAGGGAUCGAACCCAUGUCCCCUGCAUCGGUAGGCGGAUUAUUAACGACUGGACCACCAGGGAAGUCCCUCUGGUUGUCUUCUAAAGAGGGUGAUGCUUCUCCUUCAGAAUAUCUUGCAAGGUUUAGAUGCGUGCAUUUGUAGGCAGGGGUUGUGUAAGAGGGAGAGAAGAAUCUAGAGUUCCUAUGGCGAUCCCAGGAGGUUAGGGGUGAGGACAGGAAGGCUGAGGGUGAAGGAGAACAGGGAGAAGAAGGGCUGAGUCAUGACAUGCCAUUGCCAUGACCCCUGCAUCUUCGACCUUGCUUGAAAACCUUGCCAAAUGCUUGGUAUUAAUGGAUGUCCUCCUAUGAGCAGAAAUCAGUCAAGGAAGUGAGUUUUUCAUCCUUGGUUGAUGGAGGGCAAAAGAGAGACCAUACCAGGUCGGUGCAACAGAGAGUGAGAAGCAGAGGGUCCAGGGCAGUGUAAGCCCCCCAAGAACUCUCCGAAGUCACUUCCAGAAGGCUUUGGAAUCUCCAAACCCUUCUGGAACUGACAGGGGCCAGAGACAAUUUAAACCUAAACCUCCACAUGGCAAGGGUAUGAUACUGAGCUUACACAGAUAGUAAUGUCCUACACAGAUAAGGAAUUUCAGAAAACAAAACUAAACUUGGCAACUUUUUAGAUGUAAAGGGGGAGACAGGUCUCCAGUGCUGAGGAAAGGAGCUGACCCUGCAACUCAGCACCUAGAGCAUCACUGCACCUGUGACUGUUUUCAAAGAACCGCAGAGGCCAGAGGAAACUCAAAUGGAAUUCUUUAUGGUCUUUCAAACCUACAAAUGUUUGCUCUGUUGAAACAGCCAUAAAAUGUCAGAAACAGUUUAAACUUAUUUAUCUAACCUCAAAGACAGGCUAUUUCCCCCAAGACUUACAGCUCUGAAAUAUUCAACGUUCUGUUUCCACAAUGCUGAAAUCGUUUUUGAAAGGCAAAUGUUAUGGAAAAAAAGUUCAGAUCUGGAGGGGCUGUGAAAAACACGUGUUGCAAAAAGUCUGCACCUCUGGGGUGUCUUUAAAAUAGUCACUGUUUAAAGACAAAUUUCCUUCACCCUUGAAGGGCUCAUGAAAUAUUCUAUAAAAUCCUUGGCCUCUUCAGACUGCUCUAAAAUGCUAGAUUUUUCUAUCAAUGUAUCACAUAUAUUACACUUGUAUGUUUUGUUCAUCGGUUUGUUUCCUCCAGCUACUCAACACUCAUACUGUUUUUUUUUCACAGAUGAAAACUGAACAUUUAAGCUACCACUAGUCACCUCCAGGGCAUGGGAAGAAAUGAUGUUGCCAGUUUAUAAGAUUAGAGGCAAACUGAACACAGUGUAGGCAAAGCACAAAGGGAAUCGUUACUAAUCAAUGAAACAAAUGAACAAGAGUUCACAGUUUCAGUGUCAAAGAGAAUAUCUCAAAGCUACUAGCACAAAAGGUACAUACCCUUGACUGGUGCGUCAAUCUUCACAAUGCAGUACAUUUUGCAAGGCAUUUCCCUCUUUUGAGUUAACUGCAUACCCUUUUGUUCUUUUGGCAAUAGAUAUGUAACUGUGUUUUUUGGAUAUAAAGGAUUAUCCUUCAGUGAGGCCAUAUCCAGAACUUCCUCCAGAUAUAAGGCUCUGGCUUUUACCAUUCACAGAAUUCUCUCGAAUAGCUACGGAAGUACUUCCUCUUUAGUAGAAUUAUGUUAACAGAUGGACAUAAUCAGGUCCCCAAGUAAUUUGAUCUGAGGACCUUAGAAACAAUCUGGGUCAUAGCAUCGAGCCCCAAUUCCAUAAUCCAGAGUCUUUCCUCAGAGGUCUUUGAAACGUGUUCAUUUUGCCGUAGAGGAAGGGUGCCAGCAAGUCCUCUUCCUGGUGUGGUCAGCCCUGGCCUCUCAGUAACCCUGGGCUCCUGCUUGGCUUGGGACUGAGCAGUUCUCUUUAACUCCAACAGUCGCACCUCACAAGCACUACACAGUUCACUGCUGGAUAGUGUCCUCUGGGGUCUCGUUUACAGGCUAGAAAGGACCCCUGAGAGUUAUUCUAUAUAUUACCUGAAAACCGAAAACCUCCAGUGGUUCCCUGAAGAACAAGACUCAAAGUCAAAGCUGGUGCAAAUCAAGCGCAGGGAUGCAUGCUGGAGUUUACAAGUGGUGACAACCGCUGACCCCAGCACAGCAGCUCAAAUGGGGCUACUCUUGGGACAUUCGGAGGCCCUUCCUGAUCAGCAUCAAUUUUGGUAAUCUAUCAAUGUAACGCUGGGACGUGGAUCGACAAAGAGCUUUGAUACGUUCCUUAAAAGCUACGUUCAAUGUAUGGCUUGUUUAGAAGUCAUACACCAUGACCUACAAGUUGAUCUUGCUGUGGCCACCAGCAAACCCUGGGAACCACGUGUGGGCUGCUGUCAGUGGAGCUCCCGGGGUGAUCUCUCAAGGCUUGGUUGACUCCCCAAGGCUCCCUUUCCUCCUCCCUCAAGGCACUGACGCUUCUCUUGUGUCUCUGAGCUGCCCCACUUACCCUGCUGAGCAGUUCCUCUCUCCUUAGGAGUGAUGGGGAGUAAGAUUCGGUUUUCCUAGCUCCAUAGCUUUGACACUUCUUGGAGGAGAAAAGCACAAAAGCCCUUCAAUGUACGGGUACCACUGCUCACAACAGCUCAUCCUCCGGCCCCGGGAACCUCACCGUUCUCACCUCACUGUGGGUAAUCGCUAAGAUUUUCUACGUGCCUUCUCUCCACUAGGGACUUAGUUGCUAUUCUCUUUUAUCACUUGGAAAGUUUCUACUAAUUCUUAAAGAGCCAUCUUAAGGCCGCUCUUCCAUGACCCCCUCUGACACUGAAGCUGAUUGUUCCUUUGUGGACCUUUGAACAUGCUGACAUGCCUAUUCCACCUUCAGAAUGAGCCCAGAGCAUGGCCCCGGCCCUGCCAUUUAACCCGUUUCUGGUUCGCUCCUUGUUACCCACUGUUGCCUGAGGGAGAGUCUCUCAUUUUGAGACAACAUUUGAGAUAAGUUCCAGGAGACACUUUGGCCCCAGUUACUGGCUAAAGCACUGGCUCUUAACCUUAACCUUGGCUACACAUUAGAAUCUUCUCGGAAGCUUUAAAAAACCUUGGUUCUCAGGCCAUAUCGCAGACAAAUUAAAUCAGGCUCUCUCAGGGCAGGGUGGGGUGGGGUCGGAGGUGAUGUCCAGGUCUGAACUGACACUACCCAUGGUAAUAAAAUGGCUUCAGCAGAUUGUCUGUCAGUCAUGAAAAUGAACACAUGGGUAUUCAAUUAUCAAAUACAUAACUGGUGGGAAUAAAUGAAUGAAAAAUAAGAAGAAAGAGAGGGGCUCCUAAAUUGGGAUGUUACUAAAGAUGCUGAAAUUCUAUUCCGGUCCUGUUAUUGCACCCUAAUGUGGGGUGUUCUCACAGUGACUCUUUUUCUAACAUCAAUAGUUCCUGAAUGCCUUUUUCAGGCUGUACCAAGAAGCUUUUAAAAAUUCCUGGAGGUUGAAUUCCAACUAAAUUUCCUCUCCUCAAGUCCCCACCUUCUGUGGCACCCUGCUCUCUCUCCAGGAAGGUGCAAUUAGGGCAGAGGAGUGAACGUGGACAAACAAGUCAUCCGAGGGCUUCUGAUGGUUCUGUGUGUAUAACACGAGAAGGAUUCCUCCAGAGUCCACAGCUAUCCUGAGCUCUCCAUCCAUGUCCAGGGGAUCUCAGAGCAUAAAAGAGCUAAAGUUGAGACCCCUGGGGGGCAGAGAGAAAGUAGGGCCUUUCUAACAAGAUAAGCAGAUACGAUUGGUUUGAGGCGUUGCCUCUUACUGCCUUUAAAGGAAAGCUCCCCAACUGCUCCCUAGCAGAUCUCAGACAGGUCUGGGGAGCUCAGCACCGACCACUCUGGCUUCCGCUCCGACAGCAUCUGAGGAGCCAAGAGGACAGGGGGCCCGCCCCAGGCACCACUCGGAGACCCGGGGGAGUGAAGCAACUUGUCACAUUAGAAACCUGAGCUUCAGAAGCUCACCAAGAGAAGACCUGAAGUCGGAAAGCAAAGAGGAGGAGCCCAGGAGGAACCCUGCCUACGGGAUCAGCAUCCAGCAGGCUCCCCCAGGACCGAGUCAUUACAAUUUAGGUGGGCUUAAUGCGUCUUCAUAUCAGAACUGUGGUAAUGAAAAACCAUGGGGGUAAAAGCUAUCAUGGCAGAGAGCUUACGUAUUAGUUUGGGAGUCAUAAGCCCUAUUCUAGUGUUCCAACCAGUGGCUUUCAAACAGUAGCAGAACCGAUUCUUAACCUUUUUUUUUUUAUGUAUAUAUAAGGAAGUCCAAUUCACAAAACUGCAGAAACGUGGAGGUCUCUUAGUUGUACUGUAUGCUGUGGGAGAGGGUAGGUAGGGUUGAAAGGUAAGUUUGGGGUCCCUGACAAGGCUCCAUGGAACCUAUAGUUUGAAACUCGGUCUCUCCACUGGUCUGUUGAUGGCGCAUAGAAGAAAGGUGCAUGGUUAUUUGGAGGACAGAGAAUAAAUGGACACAACAUAAAAUUACAUGAUAAAAGGCCUCGUGGGCCAGCUGUUUUUACAAUGUGAAGGGGUGAAGGUUAACACAGUGCUGGGUGUCUGUGAAGUUUUCAGGGCAGAGAAACAUAUUGGUGGGACUGAUGACACGAGUGGGGAACAGAUAUUUGGGGAGGAAAGAAGUGUUGCUGAUGACAGGACUGGCCCACGAGAGCUGUGGUCUGAAUGCUUCAAGAGAAGGCGGGACUCGGUCUCUGCAGAAACAGAAGCCCAAGCACAUGGCUUUUUUUGCAGUAAGUAUGCAAUUUGCUUGAAUAGCCCUUUCUGUUUUUCAUUCUGCACAUCUAGCUACCUUAUGCCAGCAUUUCCUUCUACUUCUUGACUGUGUAGAGAUUCACGUUUCCUCCAAAUGGGAAAUUGAGAUGGAUCAAAGGAGAAGAAAAUCAUGUUCCAAGGAGCAUUCAGAAUCUUCAGCGGAUCUUCAAAGAACAGAAAAUUGCUUUACAUAAUCCAAGUAUGAGUACAAAGAGGUCUGGGGCAAGUAUAUCAAGGGUUAGGUGAGGCAGUGGGGAGUCACUACCGCAUGGUGCUACUGCAGUGAUGGGUGAGGUAUGCAUCAAGGUGGGGCCUCAAUCCUCCUGGGGACAGAGGGGGGACACUCAGGUAGACCUCUGGCCUAACACUGGCCGGCACCCUGCAGGCUGGCGAGAGGCCAGCCUCUCCGUGAACUCUGCCUGGAUCCUAGAUCUCCCACCAUGGGACAGUUCUCCAGUGGGCACUGGCUGCUGCUCAUACCUGAGCCUCUGAAACCUUGUCCCUAAGCUGCAGCACUUCCCAAGUCCUGCCGCAGACCUCUGCUUUGACGCUCUCCUCUCUGAUUAGACCACCUGGGUGCCCAUUCUGCUGUCUCAAGUCCAGAGCCUCCUUCUCCCUCCAGUUCCUUUGGAGUCACACAGACUUGGGAUUAAAUCUUAGCUGCCACACUCGUUACAUAUAUACACACGGGUAAGUAACUGCACGUAGGGACUUCGCUGGCGGUCAGUGGCUAAGGCUUCGCCUUCCAAUGCAGGGGGGGCGGGUUUGAUCCCUGGUCGGGGAGCUAAGAUCUCACAUGCCUCGUGGCCAAAAAACCAAAACAUAAAACAGAAGCAAUGUUGUAACAAAUUCAAUAAAGACUUUAAAAAUGGUCCACGUCAAAAAACAGAUCUUAAAAAAAACAGUAAUUGCACAUUUCUGAGCAUGUUUACUCUUUAGCAACACAAAGAUAAUGAUAAUAUCCACCUCAUAGCCUAUUCAAGCAGACACGUAUUAGGUACUCAAGUUAUUGUUAUCUGGGGUGAUGAGUGUUGAUGGUUUUUUAAUAUGUUUCUUACUGAGAUGCUGCCUGUCAGCAUAUAAUCCUUAGCUCUUUGCAAUGUAGUUUCUCUCCAUGUUUGACUUACCUCUGUGUCAACGUCCCAGCCCUAGCCUGGGGACGACUGUGUCCCAGAUCCUCAAUUAAUGACACAUCCAUUGCUAACUGCUUGAUAUGCCUGCUCUCUCUUGGAUAAGCUCUCCAGAGGCACGGAAUCCUAAUUUAAUAUCUUGAGUGCCUGGCUCCACAAUCCAAUCAAUGACCAGCGAUGCGAUUUCACUGAGCUUAAUUUAUGGCUUUCUGCAGUUUCUUUUCCCCCCCAACUUUGCAUCCAUACUGUAGACAGAACGUUCUCUUUAAACACAGAUUGGGUCAUACCAUCACUCUACUUAAAACAUUUCUUGGGACUUCCUUGGCGAUCCAGUGGUUAAGACUCCACGCUUCCAAUGCAGGAGGUGCGGAUUUGAUCCCUGGUCAGGGAACUAAGAUCCCACGUGCCGCGAGGUGGAGCCAAAAAUUAAAAAGCAAAAAAUUUUUGCCUCCCCGCCUCCAAUAAAAGGAAGUCCAAGGGUUUUAGCGUGGCAUUAAAAGCCCUUCAAAAUCUGGUCCCAAUGUGUACUUCCAAACCCACCUCUUCCCACCUCCCUCACACCCUCUGCUUUAAGUCACGUGGAUCUGCUUAUGGUUUUGCAAAUAAGCCAGGAGCUCUCAUGUUUCUGUGCUUUCGCACAUAUGUUGUUUCAACAAAAAUGGCCUUCCUUUUUGUUCCAAGUGGCCUGGUUAUAGUGUCAUCUCUUCUGUCAGCCUUCUCCGAUCCUUUGGGAGCCUUAACUAUUCUCUCCUCCAUGUGGCUUCAUAAAAACUUACAUUUCGCAUUUGCUAUAUCAUAGUUUCCUUGUCUAUAUAUCUGGAAAAACAAGAUUUUGUUCAUCUCUGUACACUAAGGAACUAGACUGGGCUUAGCAGAUGCUUAGUGAAUGCUUGCUAAAUGGAUGGAAAGAUGGAUGGAAUUUCCAGCCAUCUGUGAUUGAUUGUUUGAUUGAAUAUAGGGUUCAGAGAGGAGAAUGGUGAGAAAAUGUCUUUAUCAUAGGCAGACGUAGGAAAAACAAGGGAGGGGGGAUAGGCUUUUUGAGUGGGAGAAGAGCAUUUAAACAUACUAUAAAAAAAUUAGCUAUUUCAAGGAUUGUAUAUGGUGUAAAUAAGAGAUAAACAUAGUACAGAAUAGGGGAUACAUUUCAAAAACUAGAGAUGAAGCAAAAUAAAUUAGCUUUAAUUUAGAAUAUGGUCAAAAGCACUAAAAUGUUCGGUUCAUAAAACAAGAGGAAGCAGAUUAUCCUCAGGUUUUCUCUAAGUAUUCUGAAACUUAUAUGGAAAAUGUUGUGGGUAAAUGUAUUUUUCUGGAGAGAGAGUUUUUUGCGGGGCGUGGGGGGUGGUCAAAGGGAUUUGUGACUUAAAGAUGUUAAAUCACUGCGACUGAGUUCCACACUGCAUAAUGUCAACCAGUAGUUGUCGGGGGAAAAUAACUGUCAGACACAUGAGGCUGUGUUCAGGAAUUUAAGCAUAUAAUCUUGCUGCACCACAAAAAUUUUCUCAAAGUCCUCCCCUGUAAGGGAAAUCAUUAAAGCCAGUAAAGAAAGCUAAUAAUUCACUUAGACAUCAGCAAAACUCUCGGUAUAUUUCACAGCAUCUUAAGCCUAAAAAAUUCUCCGGAUUAAGAAGAUACUUUUAAAUUUAUGUAAUAUGUUUCUUCUGAAACUGACCAGCAUCUCUUAGGUAUUCAUCUCAUGGAGCACCAAGCAUCCUGCUGCUACCUGCUUAGACCCUUGCUUCCCACCAUCUGCUUGUACACACACUGUGUGCACUCAGCUUUGUACCUUCUACCUACUUAUUCCCCCAUCCUCUCCUAUCAAUGGGGAACUCAGAAAUGACAGAGGUGUAGGGCUUAAAUCUAUAUCACUAGUAAGUUUAGACUUUCUAGAAAGCAAUUUGCCUUAUUUGCUUUAGUUCUUUUUAAGCAAUAGAGCAUUACACCUACAGCUAAAGUUCUGUCCCUAAACUGUGCUUUCUUCUUUUCUCUCCCAGGAGUACCAACAAUCCUGACAUUGGUAUAUGUCCUUCCCAUGAAUGUUUGUAUAUUUUUGCCAUAUAGUCAUACACCCAUAAAUAAAAUAUAUGAUUGUGCCGUAAGUUUUAACUUUACAUGCUAAUAUAUUGGAUUGAUUUUAAUGAGAUAUAAUUUAAAUACUAUAAAAUUCACCCUCUCAAAGUAUACAAUUCGGUGUGUUUUUUUUUUAGUGUAUUCAUAAAGUUGUGCAACCAUCAGUACUAUCUAAUUCCAGAACAUUUUCAUCACCGCAAAAAGACACCCGUGCCUAUUAGUCAUUCCUCUCCAUUCUCUUGCAUUUUCCUCUCCUCUUCGCCACUGGCAGCCUUUAAUCGGUCUCUACGGAUGUGCCUGCUCUAGUCGUUUCAUGGGUAUGUAACCAUACACUGUGCUCUUUUGUGUCUGGCUUCUUUCACUUACCAUCAUUUUUAAAGAUUCAUCCAUGUUUUAGCAUGUAUCAAUAUUUCAUUCCUUUUUAUGACCAAAUAAAACCCCAUUGUACGGAUAUACUACAUUUUCUUUAUCCAUCCAUUAGCUGAUGGAUAUUUAGGUUGUUUCCACUGUUUGGCUGUUAGAAAUAAAGUUGCUAUGAGCAUUCGGGUAC